UUGAGUGUGCUUGGACUGCCGACAGAGCUUGGUGUUGUGAUCGGAGUCUGAAGUGAAGAAGAGAAAACAAGACAGCAGAGGAAACACCGGAGGAAUGUUUACUGAUGGAGAUCUCGCAGCUACAGCGAGAGAUGGGUACGAGGCCUUCGACUGCUCGAGAGCCGUGGCCCUCAUCGGCUUCCUCGGCCUCCUCUCCAACUUCCAGGACAUCAUAGACAACAUCGUCAACAACAACGGACGGCGAAAACGAAGACGCAUCGCAAGCGCACCCGUUCCCGAAACCCGACUUUGG
Penaeus indicus is the source of this 292-nucleotide long non-coding RNA. RefSeq lists it as uncharacterized. The record is from RefSeq and is a predicted model, not a curated record. Lineage: Eukaryota; Metazoa; Arthropoda; Malacostraca; Decapoda; Penaeidae. The transcript is spliced from 3 exons.